GACGAACGCUGGCGGCGUGCUUAACACAUGCAAGUCGAGCGGAGCGGCGAACGGGUGAGUAACGCGUGAGUAACUGCCCCCCUCUCUGGGAUAACAGUCGGAAACGGCUGCUAAUACCGGCUAGUGGGGGAUGACUCGCGUCCUAUCAGCUUGUUGGCGGGGUAGUGGCCUACCAAGGCGACGACGGGUCGCCGGCCUGGGAGGGCGACCGGCCACAUUGGGCACAGAUCGGGCCCAAACUCCUACGGGGGGCAGCAGUGGAGAAUAUUGCACAAUGGGGGAAACGCUGAUGCAGCACCGCCGCGUGCGGGAUGACUGGCUUCGGGUUGGAAACCGCUUUAAGCCAUGCCGCGGUAGUGGCAGAAGAAGCACCGGCUAACUACGUGCCAGCAGCCGCGGUAAUAC
This 405-nucleotide ribosomal RNA is filed under the name uncultured bacterium. Its description in RNAcentral is "partial 16S ribosomal RNA". It matches the Rfam family "Bacterial small subunit ribosomal RNA", at positions 28 to 526 of the family's 1533-position model. The record is from RNAcentral.